Molecule: ribosomal RNA, 789 nt
Filed under: uncultured archaeon
Lineage: Archaea
Description: bacterial SSU rRNA
Rfam family: Archaeal small subunit ribosomal RNA
Source: RNAcentral
ACUGCUCAGUAACACGUAGUCAACAUGCCCAGGGGACGUGGAUAACCUCGGGAAACUGAGGAUAAACCGCGAUAGGCCAAGAUUCUGGAAUGAAUCAUGGUUUAAAUCUAUAUGGCCCCUGGAUUGGACUGCGGCCGAUCAGGCUGUUGGUGAGGUAAUGGCCCACCAAACCUGUAACCGGUACGGGCUCUGAGAGGAGGAGCCCGGAGAUGGGCACUUAGACAAGGGCCCAGGCCCUAUGGGGCGCAGCAGGCGCGAAACCUCUGCAAUAAGCGAAAGCUUGACAGGGUUACUCUGAGUGAUUUCCGCUAAGGAAGUCUUUUGGCACCUCUAAAAAUGGUGCAGAAUAAGGGGUGGGCAAGUCUGGUGUCAGCCGCCGCGGUAAUACCAGCACCCCGAGUGGUCGGGACGAUUAUUGGGCCUAAAGCAUCCGUAGCCGGUCCUGCAAGUCCUCCGUUAAAUCCACCCGCUCAACGGUUGGGCCGCGGGGGAUACUACAGGGCUAGGAGGCGGGAGAGGCAAGCGGUACUCGAUGGGUAGGGGUAAAAUCCACUGAUCCAUUGAAGACCACCAGUGGCGAAGGCGGCUUGCCAGAACGCGCUCGACGGUGAGGGAUGAAAGCUGGGGGAGCAAACCGGAUUAGAUACCCGGGUAGUCCCAGCUGUAAACGAUGCAGACUCGGUGAUGGGCUGGCUUCGUGCCAACCCGGUGCCGCAGGGAAGCCGUUAAGUCUGCCGCCUGGGGAGUACGGUCGCAAGACUGAAACUUAAAGGAAUUGGCGGGGGAGCA